GCAAGUCGUGCGAGAAAGAUCUUCGGAUAUGAGUAGAGCGGCGGACUGGUGAGUAACGCGUAGGAAUCUACCUAGUAGAAGGGGAUAGCCCGGGGAAACUCGGAUUAAUACCGUAUACCUCCUUUGGGAGAAAGAAGGCCUCUCUUUGAAGCUUUCGCUACUAGAUGAGCCUGCGUAAGAUUAGCUUGUUGGUGAGGUAAAGGCUCACCAAGGCGACGAUCUUUAGCGGGUCUGAGAGGACGAUCCGCCACAUUGGGACUGAGACACGGCCCAGACUCCUACGGGAGGCAGCAGUGGGGAAUAUUGGACAAUGGGCGCAAGCCUGAUCCAGCCAUACCGCGUGUGUGAAGAAGGCCCUAGGGUUGUAAAGCACUUUAAGUUGGGAAGAAAAGUUAUUGGUUAAUACCCAAUGACCGUGACAUUACCUUCAGAAUAAGGACCGGCUAAUUCCGUGCCAGCAGCCGCGGUAAUACGGAAGGUCCAAGCGUUAAUCGGAAUUACUGGGCGUAAAGCGCGCGUAGGUGGUUUAUUAAGUUGGAUGUGAAAUCCCCGGGCUCAACCUGGGAACUGCAUCCAAAACUGAUUCACUAGAGUACGAUAGAGGGAGGUAGAAUUCACAGUGUAGCGGUGGAAUGCGUAGAUAUUGUGAAGAAUACCAAUGGCGAAGGCAGCCUCCUGGAUCUGUACUGACACUAAGGUGCGAAAGCGUGGGUAGCGAACAGGAUUAGAUACCCUGGUAGUCCACGCCGUAAACGAUGUCAACUAG
This 766-nucleotide ribosomal RNA is filed under the name uncultured marine bacterium. RNAcentral describes it as "bacterial SSU rRNA". It matches the Rfam family "Bacterial small subunit ribosomal RNA", at positions 57 to 819 of the family's 1533-position model. The record is from RNAcentral.